Long non-coding RNA from Cephus cinctus (wheat stem sawfly), 1393 nucleotides. RefSeq lists it as uncharacterized. The transcript has 4 exons. NCBI's taxonomy places the organism in Eukaryota, Metazoa, Arthropoda, Insecta, Hymenoptera, Cephidae. The record is from RefSeq and is a predicted model, not a curated record.
GCCAAAGUCGGGAGGAGGGCCUGAGGUUGAAAGGAGCCCCAGGACGACGAAGGGGAUGAAUAGACGGAUGAAUGACGCACAAUUAACUAAUUAAAUCAUCCGGCGUAUUUUCCCCUUCCCUACCACCCCCUCUCAGACUCUGUCUCUUGAGUAUCAUCCCCUUCUGUUUGGAAGACUCGCCGCCAUCUCUUCGCCAUUGUUUCUACAUUCGCAAUGCAAGGGCGUCUAUGUCAGGAAAUAAAAAUUCUCCCCACGUUUACUUCUGGCUCUCAAAAAAUUGGCAAAAUUAGAGUGAAGGUUUUUGACAGUGUUAAAAAGAAAACUUUAUUUGACAAAGGUCAAAAGUCACUGGAUAGGAUCAUUUCCUUGGCGCUGUAAUCCCUCGUAGUGACAACCUGGACCCUUUCGCUGAAGAUCAAACAAUAAUCCCUUAAGAAUUGUCAUCGUCUACAAGAAUCGAGGGUGUCGCCAUUAGUCGAAGAAAAAAUUACCUGUCGCCUGACGCCUCCAUUAAAGGGGCAUUCAUAACUCAAUUUUCAUCUCCUUGCUCAGCCACCUGUCAUCCUCGCGCAAUCGUAUUCAUUACGUUUGGAAAUUAUCAUAAAAUGGUAACUGUUAACAUUGCAAACAUUUAAGAAAAGCAAUCCAGCAAUGGCUUUUAAAAGGACGGAAAAUGGAAAAGGCAAACAGGUCGAUUUUGACUAAAAAAAUGUAAGCCUGCAACAGUCACAGUAAGAGAAUGGCAAUAAUUUCAAGUAUCAAAAUUCUAAUUGCCUCAACUGUCCUUUUACGAAUAAAAAUAAAAUUGGAAUGAAACAUGGUGUCGAGCUGAAACGAGCCACAGCGUAAACUACCGUGUCAUGAUAUUCCACAAAUAAAAACUGUGAUGCUACAUGGGUUAUUUACAACGUAGGGGUGUUCAGAGGUAUGGUUGGCCAAUUUUUGACAAGCAAUAUCACCGAUAUAUAUGGUCCACUGGGAUAACUCAGCAACAACCAAUCAGGAUCAUCUGACAGGAAGUACCCCCUGCUCACACUCAUCCGCCACCUACGUAACCAGGAAUACACCCUGCCUUCGAUCACCGACCAAUUUGUUCUUUAAAACCCAUCGACUGAUUGGCUUGACGAGGCAAUCAGUAUAUUUUUUUAAAAAGUCUCCUUGUUACGUUUUUCUACUUUCAACAUAACCUUUGAGUUAUUCUAUACGUAUAGUGCUUCUAAUGCAAAGUAUCAGAUAGGUGCAAAAGUAAUUGUGGUUUUUGUUAUGAACGCUUUUAAUAAAAGUCGCAAUAUUUGCACCAACCUAAUACUUUGUUGAAUAUUUUUGUUUGUAAUGGUAUAUUAGAUUAAGAAUUGUUUAAUAUUAAUUAUCGUUGUAUCCGAAUAUCAGUUAG